This 73-nucleotide transfer RNA is filed under the name Ailuropoda melanoleuca (giant panda). It matches the Rfam family "tRNA". Rfam says of the family: Transfer RNA (tRNA) molecules are approximately 80 nucleotides in length. Their secondary structure includes four short double-helical elements and three loops (D, anti-codon, and T loops). Lineage: Eukaryota; Metazoa; Chordata; Mammalia; Carnivora; Ursidae. The record is from Rfam by way of RNAcentral.
ACCUGGCUGGCUGAGUUGGCAGAGUGUGUGACUCUGGAUCUCCAGCUUGUGAGUUCAAAUCCCACAUCGGGUG